UUCCGCUUCAUUCCGUUCCGUUCAUUUUCAUCCGCCAGACUUUUUGUUCUCCAUUUCAGCACGCCGCGCGUCGGAGAAGGGGAUUUGCCGCGUUUAAGCCGUUCGGUCCACUGCUGAACCUGUCCGUACCACGCGGUUAAUGAUCUCUGAAUAUCGUCUUCAAAAAGUGGAUACCUGCAAGUUUUCAAAGGGGAUCAGCUGCUGUUUUCAAGACUAAGCGCAGCUUGGUUGCUGUAUUAACUUAUUUACAAACUCAAAAUGGAGAAUGAUGGCAAAUAUCUUCCUCAGCUGUUGGCAGAGAGAGACAGCCUGGAUGCAUCUUUCACACACGCCAUGAAACUUUUGUCUGCAGAAAUCGACAGAGUAGAGAAAGGGGAUGGCGAGGACGACGAUAAAGCAACCGAAGCCUACCUGGACCUCUUCACGACGAAGAACAUCAAGCUGAAGGAGCGGGUCCUCAUACCCGUCAAACAGUACCCCAAGUUCAACUUUGUGGGAAAGAUCCUUGGACCUCAGGGAAACACAAUAAAGCGUUUGCAGGAGGAGACGGGUGCCAAGAUUUCAGUCCUGGGGAAGGGAUCCAUGCGGGACAAAACCAAGGAGGAGGGCCUGCGGAAGAGUGGCGAGCCCAAGUACGCACACCUGUCCAUGGAGCUGCACGUGUUCAUCGAGGUGUUUGCGCCCGUCCCAGAGGCCUACCUGCGCAUGGCUCACGCCAUGGAGGAGGUCAAGAAGUUCCUGUUCCCGGACAUGAUGGAUGAUAUUUGUCAGGAGCAGUUCCGGGAGAUGAACUACCUGAAUGGGGCACCAGAGCACCCCCCUCGGGGCCGGGGAGGCCCCCCAGUCAGAGGCCGAGGGGUGCCCCACCCACCCUCUGCACCGCUAAGGGGUAGGGGCAUUCCACCGCGUGGUGGCGCCCCCCGUGGAGGACCCCCCAGAGGCGGUGCGGUAAGAGGCGCCCCGUCGGGACGAGGGGGACCCCCGGCCCAGCCCACCAGGGGAGUAGCUCCCACUCGUGCCCACCCACCCGCCCCCGGGCCCCAGCGGAUGGCCCCACCACCACCACACCCACCUGCACAGGAGACGUAUGAAGAAUAUGCUUAUGACGAGAGCUACACAGAUCCAUCUUAUGAGUCAUAUGACAACUACUACAAUCAGACACAGGCAGAGCCAGAGUAUUAUGACUACGGACACGGAGAGACGCAAGAAAGUUACGACUCGUAUGCUCAGGACGACUGGAAUGGAACUCCGCGCCCAGCCCCCGGAGCCAAGGCCCCACCCGCAAGGCCAGCGAAAGGAACAUACCGGGAACACCGCUACGCACCGUACUGAGCCCCUAAAGAGCGGAACAGUCUCCCCUUCCUUAACGCGUCGCCAUGACAACUGUCUCCCACGGCAGCUCACGCUUUAAGCAACCCCAACAAAAGUAGUGCGAGUGUGGAUCACUGCGAAGGCUUGAAGGAGUUGAAGUAGAACCGAAACUAUUGAAGUCUUGGCUCAGGGAAGGCCCUCGUCACAGUAGCGCCGUAUGAGGAGCACAUGCAGAAUGGUCUCGAGCUCCAAGCCGUGUGGAUCCAGUCUAGUGUCUCCUCAUUCUCAAGCGAAGAUGGGUAGACACAGAGAGAGAGAGAGAGAGAGAGCGAGAGAGUGUGAGUGAGGCACAGAGAAAGAGAGAGCCUCAGGGAAGACCUUGUGUGGAAGGCUGGGAAUGGUGGUCGUGGUUGAAAGGGGGGGGGGGGGGGGUGGCGAUGCCGCAUGCCCUCCUUUUGAGUGAAGAGGAAGAAAAAUCGAUGUGGUCUGCUGCAGGCCAGGCAAAAUGAGGGUGGCAGAAAGCACUCAUCGGGCCGGAUCAAAAUAAAAGCCUCACUUCCUCGUGACGAGCCCGAAAGGGGAUGGGGAAGGGGUGGGCCGGCCAGCUGUGUGUUCUGAGGUUACUGCCUAAUGUGUUUCGAGAAGAGCAGGAAUCAUUAUUCCACCCCAGAUCCCUCUUAGAUUCCGUGCGUGCGUGCGUGUGUGUGUGUGUGUGUGUGUGUGUGAGGGCAUGCGUUGGGCAUACACUUGUGUGUCCACAGGAAAGGGUCUCUGAAGCACACUUAAUGCUGUCUUUAAAAUGACCACUCGCUGUUGCCACCGCCGGCCAUGAAAUCGCUUCAUUUUAACAAGCACCCUGAGUUCCAUCCGCGCUCGCCUGCUGAUGCUCUGCUUCUUGUAAUGCCAUUACGUUUCAUUUACUUUUGCCUCUUCGCUUGUCUCUGUGGUGUGUGUGUGAUGUUUUUUUUGUUUUUUUUUAAAGCAAACCAAGAGUACUGUUUGUUCAAGCCAUCACCCAUGGUUGCAUGCACCCUUACACAAUGGAAUGUGUGGAAUGGAAAGAAGCGACCUAUGUCUUUGUAGCUCCUCUGUCGUGUGCCUUAAUUGCCAUGCCGAUGUUGGUCCUGCUCUCGUGAGCAGAAGAAGUGCCCUAGUGAACGUGCCAGAGGAAGUGCCUUGCACUUAUCGCUGCGUUUGCAGAAUGAGUGCCCCCCCGCAAUUAAUAUUAACUGUACAGGCUCAGUUACUCUUCAGCAGCCAACAGACCCGCUUUUCUUUUCUCCCCCUCCCCCUCCCCCUUUUGCUUUAGAGGGGAUAGGAUGCUAAUGGUGCUUUAACUUAUGUAGUCAUUUCCCUCUUCUCUUCCUCCAGAGAUGUUGGAAACUGAAGGCUGCCUUGCACUCAUCAUUCUGUCACAUAUGCGCGCAAACACACACACUCACUCACUCACACUCUCUCUCUCUCUCUCUCUCUCUCUCUCUCUCUCUCGUAAAUGUAUUCAUUGACAAACUUCGCAGCUGCAGCACUCUUCAUCUGUGUGUGUGUGUGUAUGUGUUUUUCAAGCUUUUCCAGUGAAACUCAUCCCCCACCACACACACGCACACAAACACGUUGAAUGCAAGCAUGCCAUUUCAACCAAUUACUGCUGAUGACAGUUCCUCUGUCCCCCAGAGGUAGUGCUGAUUGCUGACUGGCUAACGGGCCCCAGCGUUAUUACAUUAGACAGAAAUCACUCCUCACCGCAGAUUUUAAUAAGCAUUAGCCACAGCUCAAGCUCCAUCGAACAAUUGGAAAAAGAGGGGGGAAAAACUGCUGCGACAAGCUCCGUGAGUCUGUAACCGGGGGGAGGGGAGUGUCGUUAUAAUGAGAAAUCUCCAAAGCAGAUAAUGGAAAUGUUUCAUGAAGGCUUUCGCCGGCACUUGGUGUUGGCCACAGAAGUGGGAUUUUUAUAAAACAGAAAACCUAGGAACUUCUGGCGGAAAAUGUGAAUUCUAUUCAAGCUUGACUGAUAGAGCUUAACAGAGCAGUUCUUUUUAUAGUCCACACACACACAUACACACAGAGUUGUUGCCUGAAGUGGAGCGCUCUGUGAUGGAAAAGCCUGACCCGUACCUUCAGGGCUCGAUCUUGUGGUGCAUUGACUGUGGUAGGCGUGACAGACUGGUAAAAAUGCCACCGCUGUCGGCUCUCGUGUGGGGGGCAUGCCCUUGCUGAGGCUACGCAGGGUCUUUUGGCUCUCUCUCUCACACACACACACACUCUGCUGAGGCUAUGCAGGGUCAACUAAAACCAACUCUGUCCUUCACCUGUCACGUCGUUUCUUUUCAUGCAUGGAGACUGUUGAACUUGCCUUUAGUUUCUUUUAUUUCGUGUCCUUCAUGCAUGACCCAAGCAGACAAACGUGGCUACUGAGCUGCAUGGCCUCUGCUUGAUUUAUAUAACGACUAGUUCUCCUGAACAGGGUUGCAGUGUCCACUAAUUCCAUGCAGAGCAUGCUGCAUUUGGCUCAGUGUCGCUGCUUCCUGGUGCUUAUUCAGAAACCCAUAUCCUGUUUGACCUUUGUGACCAAACACUACUGAACCAAAAUGGUUACGAAGUUUUUAACCAGGCUGCAUUGAAUCGUGUCAGUUGUUUACAAUCAAUUUUCUCGGUCCAGCACAUUGUUUGCGUGUUCUACAUAAGCUAACAACUCGACUCAACAACAAAAAGUUUAGAGUUAUGCGCCCUCCAGUUAUCUUUUUGCUCCUUGACUUCUGUGUUUUGUCAUGUUAAUGAUCCAAGUGCUGCAUUAAUCUUUGUCUGAUUACAUGCUUGUAGAAAUGCAUAUAUUUUGGUUAAAUUAUACUUCUUUCAGGGCAAAUGUUAGUGGAGCAAAUGUUCCGGCAAGUCAUUAAUAUACAUCAGGUGCUUUGAUCCAUACUGUUUACUCUUAAAGGAGGCGGUUUGGCUUUUGUUUUCUUUUUCUUUUUCAAGGUUUUGAAUGUAUGCUUUCUUUUUACAGUACGGUCCAGUUAACUAUAGUUUUUUUCUGUUUAAACCCAGAGGUAUUAAUAUUCUCAAGGAAAUGUUACCUAGUUGUUCUUGGGAUUGAAGCCAAAAAUAAAGGUACUCAUGAUUUCCAUUAA
RNA transcript from Clupea harengus (Atlantic herring), 4436 nucleotides. It is a transcript of the gene named KH RNA binding domain containing, signal transduction associated 1b, with no coding region annotated. The record is from RefSeq and is a predicted model, not a curated record. NCBI's taxonomy places the organism in Eukaryota, Metazoa, Chordata, Actinopteri, Clupeiformes, Clupeidae.